Molecule: ribosomal RNA, 464 nt
Filed under: uncultured bacterium
Lineage: Bacteria
Description: bacterial SSU rRNA
Rfam family: Bacterial small subunit ribosomal RNA
Source: RNAcentral
CCUANGGGGGCAGCAGCUAAGAAUAUUCCGCAAUGGACGAAAGUCUGACGGAGCGACGCCGCGUGGAUGAUGAAGGCCGAAAGGUUGUAAAAUCCUUUUGUCGGGGAAGAAUAAGCAUGGGAGGGAAUGCCCGUGUGAUGACGUUAACCGGCGAAUAAGCCCCGGCUAACUACGUGCCAGCAGCCGCGGUAACACGUAGGGGGCAAGCGUUGUUCGGAAUUACUGGGCGUAAAGGGCAUGUAGGCGGUUUUAUAAGCCUGACGUGAAAGGCUAUGGCUCAACCAUGGCACUGCGUUGGGAACUGUGAGACUUGAAUCACGGAGGGGGAGCUGGAAUUCCAGGUGUAGGGGUGAAAUCUGUAGAUAUCUGGAAGAACACCAGUGGCGAAGGCGAGCUCCUGGCCGAUGAUUGACGCUGAGGUGCGAAAGUGUGGGGAUCAAACAGGAUUAGAUACCCGUNUANUC